UUUACGGGAGGCAGCAGUGAGGAAUAUUGGUCAAUGGACGAGAGUCUGAACCAGCCAAGUAGCGUGAAGGAUGACUGCCCUAUGGGUUGUAAACUUCUUUUAUAAGGGAAUAAAGUGAAGUAUGUGUACUCUUUUGUAUGUACCAUAUGAAUAAGGAUCGGCUAACUCCGUGCCAGCAGCCGCGGUAAUACGGAGGAUCCGAGCGUUAUCCGGAUUUAUUGGGUUUAAAGGGAGCGUAGGCGGAUGUUUAAGUCAGUUGUGAAAGUUUGCGGCUCAACCGUAAAAUUGCAGUUGAUACUGGAUAUCUUGAGUGCAGUUGAGGUAGGCGGAAUUCGUGGUGUAGCGGUGAAAUGCUUAGAUAUCACGAAGAACUCCGAUUGCGAAGGCAGCCUGCUAAGCUGCAACUGACAUUGAGGCUCGAAAGUGUGGGUAUCAAACAGGAUUAGAUACCCUGGUAGUCC
This 461-nucleotide ribosomal RNA is filed under the name Streptococcus agalactiae. RNAcentral's name for it is "bacterial SSU rRNA". It matches the Rfam family "Bacterial small subunit ribosomal RNA", at positions 338 to 796 of the family's 1533-position model. Lineage: Bacteria; Bacillati; Bacillota; Bacilli; Lactobacillales; Streptococcaceae. The record is from RNAcentral.